This is a long non-coding RNA of Oreochromis aureus, 650 nucleotides long. RefSeq lists it as uncharacterized. The transcript has 3 exons. The record is from RefSeq and is a predicted model, not a curated record. NCBI's taxonomy places the organism in Eukaryota, Metazoa, Chordata, Actinopteri, Cichliformes, Cichlidae.
GAUUGUAACAGAUCUUUGGUUUUUCCUUUGCUGACUGCUGAUCUGAUCGUCUCAAGUCUGGUGGCCUGCUGCAGAAGCUCUCUCCCUCUAUCAUUGACAAGCCAUUCAGUCUGUCCUAUCACUCUACCCACUCUAUCUAUUUUGACAAGCCGUUCUAUCUUGCUUCACUCUAUCCCACAAGCUCUAUCUAAGUUAUCAAAAAUCGCGUUUUUAACUGGAAUCAAAUUUUGAAUGGAAUCAAGUUUUGUCUGGCGAAAUCAAGUUUUGACAUGGCCCCAUUUUUGGGAAAUUGAAGUUACCAGUACUUCAUCCAUCUGUUAUAGAAUUCUGAGAGAUCUCUGCUCUCACUGCUCCUUCUUUCCUAUCGUUAAACUCUCUCACAUCCAGUCUUUUUGCUGGAAAUUACACGUAGAAAGUUGAAAUUAAAAUAGUAGAAUUACAGUACAGUAGAAACUAUUUACACAAUUUUAAUUUUUACUUGGAACACUUUGGAAUAAAUACUGAUAGUUUGGCUUAGAGGUGCAAUUACUUGGAUACAUUAUAUAAAAUUUACACCUUAAAGGUUUUUUGUAAUAAGAUAAACUUAUUUUAUACGACACAUUCAGACUGCUGUAUUCACAAAAAUAUUAAACUAGAUAACUUCAGAUACA